Molecule: ribosomal RNA, 560 nt
Filed under: uncultured bacterium
Lineage: Bacteria
Description: bacterial SSU rRNA
Rfam family: Bacterial small subunit ribosomal RNA
Source: RNAcentral
AUUGAACGCUAGCGGGAUGCCUUACACAUGCAAGUCGAACGGCAGCACGGACUUCGGUCUGGUGGCGAGUGGCGAACGGGUGAGUAAUGUAUCGGAACGUGCCCAGUAGCGGGGGAUAACUACGCGAAAGCGUAGCUAAUACCGCAUACGCCCUACGGGGGAAAGCAGGGGAUCGCAAGACCUUGCACUAUUGGAGCGGCCGAUAUCGGAUUAGCUAGUUGGUGGGGUAACGGCUCACCAAGGCGACGAUCCGUAGCUGGUUUGAGAGGACGACCAGCCACACUGGGACUGAGACACGGCCCAGACUCCUACGGGAGGCAGCAGUGGGGAAUUUUGGACAAUGGGGGAAACCCUGAUCCAGCCAUCCCGCGUGUGCGAUGAAGGCCUUCGGGUUGUAAAGCACUUUUGGCAGGAAAGAAACGUCAUGGGUUAAUACCCCGUGAAACUGACGGUACCUGCAGAAUAAGCACCGGCUAACUACGUGCCAGCAGCCGCGGUAAUACGUAGGGUGCAAGCGUUAAUCGGAAUUACUGGGCGUAAAGCGUGCGCAGGCGGUUCGG